AAGAACAGCUUUUAGUAUAUGCGUCUCGGCGUCUCCUUCCACUCGAUCUUGGCAUUGACAGAUGGUUCUGCUGUUGCUGCUCUGUCGUGAAAAUCAUAAAACGGAUCCCGUACAUCGGAACUGAUUUUUCCAAGAAAGAAAAGCAUAAUCCUAUUUGGUGCAGAAAGACUCUACGAUCAGAUGGGAAUUUGAAAUUAGAACAUUGAGAAUGGGAGAGACGGCUCAUUUUAUUCUUGUUCUCCAUUUUUGCAUGAUAAAUUGCAGGCUAGUCCUUAUCAGAAUAACAAGGCUGGCAGGCAACGUGCAGAAAAGGAUAUAGAUUCGGAAAUUGCUUUCUUUCUUGUUUUCAUUAUUAGGAAUAACUCUACUCUUUUUCGCUAUUUUAGUCAUAAAAGUGAAAAUGCUUCACAACAUUUGUAGGAGAGGCAUUAUGUUUUUUUUAUUAUUAAUUAUUACUACUUUGGUUUCUAA
Non-coding RNA from Jatropha curcas, 471 nucleotides. Lineage: Eukaryota; Viridiplantae; Streptophyta; Magnoliopsida; Malpighiales; Euphorbiaceae. The record is from RefSeq and is a predicted model, not a curated record.